GAGCCGGGCUGCGCGCGGAGGUAGGGGAUGCAGGCUGGGGGUGAGCAGCAGCGACGGUGCCAUCGGCUGUCGCAUCGGCGUCCUCAGCCCCGCCCCGCGCCUAAGCGGCGCUCGCUGGGAGGGCCUGGCCAUCUUCGCGCGGUGGCCGGGCGCUCCCGGGGUCCCCUGCCUGUGCCCCGUUCCCCCAUCCAGAACCUGGGCUGGAGGUGCUAGGGAGCUCUGGGAGCCUGGGCUGCACGCAGGGAAGUGCUCUCGGCCGCCGGGGUCACAAGACUCCAGGGCUUCACAGUGCCCAAGGCUUGGUGGACAUCGAGCCCACCGGGGAAUCUUUGCCAUCAGCGCCGUGUUUUGAUGCCCGCGGCAAGGAACACCACGAAAUAGGUUUCCUGACACUCAGGUGAGGUGCCAGGUCCUGGGUUACCAAGGUCAGGUCAGGUGGUCUGUACUUGCCACCCCUGGGUCGGCUCUCUACCCUGCUUGACUACAUCACAGGAAAAGGCUGGAAAUGGAUCCGGGGCUUGUUGACCUGUAGCUCAUGGAGGCUGAAGAAUUUCCUCCUUGAAGGCAGACCUGAUUUUCCUCCUCACGGAAGAGUUUAGGCCAGUCAUAGGGUGUUUUUCUUCUAUUUAUUUUAUGUUAUGUUAUGUUAUGUUAUGUUAUGUUAUGUUAUGUUAUGUUAUGUUAUGUUAUGCUAUUUUAUUUUAUUUUAGAGACAGAGUCUCACUCUGUUGCCCAGGCUGGAGUGCAGUGGGGCCAUCUCAGCUCACUGCAACCUCUGCCUCCCGGGUUCAAAUGAUUCUCCUGCCUCAGCCUCCUGAGUAGGUGGGAUUACAGGCGUGCACCACCAUGUCUGUCUAAUUUUUGUAUUUUUGGUAGAGAUGGGGUUUCGCCGUGUUGGCAAGGCUGAUCUAGAACUCCUGAGCUCAAGUGAUCCGCC
This 937-nucleotide long non-coding RNA is filed under the name Homo sapiens (human). Its description in RNAcentral is "non-protein coding lnc-CDR2L-2:2". Lineage: Eukaryota; Metazoa; Chordata; Mammalia; Primates; Hominidae. The record is from RNAcentral.